UCCACAUGUCAUAGGAAGUGCUGCGCGAGUGAGGCCGAAACCCUAACGCCUCCACGCUAUAUAAUCGUUCUCUCGCCGCCGUGAUCCCCUCUACGCGCCGCCACCCAAAACCCUAACCUGUGCCGCCGCGCUCACAGCAACCAAGCACACCGCCGCAGCCACCAUGGCAGCCGUUCUCACCCGCCCGACGCCGGGCACCGUCCAGUGCUUCGGCCGGAAGAAGACCGCCGUCGCCGUUGCCUACUGCAAGCCCGGGCGCGGCCUCAUCAAGGUCAACGGCGCGCCGAUCGAGCUCAUCCGCCCCGAGAUGCUCCGCCUGAAGGCCUUCGAGCCGAUCCUGCUCGCCGGCAGGUCCCGCUUCAAGGACAUCGACAUGCGCAUCCGCGUUCGCGGCGGCGGGAAGACGAGCCAGAUCUACUCCAUCCGCCAGGCCAUCGCCAAGUCGCUCGUCGCCUACUACCAGAAGUACGUCGACGAGGCGGCCAAGAAGGAGGUGAAGGAGAUCUUCGGCCGCUACGACCGGACGCUCCUCGUCGCCGACCCGCGCCGCUGCGAGCCCAAGAAGUUCGGCGGUCGUGGCGCCCGCGCGCGUUUCCAGAAGUCUUACCGUUGAUCUCUGCGAGAAGUCCUCUUGGGUAUGGCGACGGUGGCGUACUGCUUGUCUACUUAUCUAUCUACCUUUUGCGGCUAGUAGUUUCCCAUCUUUUUGUCAACGAAAUGGAUUGUGAGGUGCCCGUGCAAUAUCAUUUUGCUUCAUGCCUAGUUAAAGGGAUUAUGUUAUGUUUAUCAUUAUGUUAAUGAUGAGACUGGACGUUCGGAUAAACUUUUCUUAAUUGCUUGGACCUGUUUGCGCGUGAAUUUUAGUUGAUCUGAUAGUACAAGCUUUGCACAUAACAAGAGUUGCGAUAUGCCGAUCAUUUUGUGGACUAGUGUUUGGUUUUAUAUUGGAAAAUUUGGCUGCUAGUGCAGUUUGGAGGUAUAUAAAUCAAACAUGCCCCUAGGCUGCUAGUAGCUUUGUAGAUUCAUGCUUCUGUUGCUGUGAUCUUACAGUUUCUUAUAGUUUUGGUUCCGCUAUUUAUCUGUAUCCACUGCCAAGAUUAGUGAUCUCUGCGCUAGAAAUCAUACUCCCUCCGUCCGGAAAAGCUUGUUCCAAGCUUGUCCCUCGAAUGGAUGUUGUCAUCAUUGAUGCUAAUAUGAUGUAUAUCUUUCCCAGUUAUGGCGAUUUAGCGAUUCAUGACCCA
RNAcentral lists this ribosomal RNA (1241 nucleotides) under Triticum aestivum (bread wheat). Its description in RNAcentral is "partial small subunit ribosomal RNA". The record is from RNAcentral. Lineage: Eukaryota; Viridiplantae; Streptophyta; Magnoliopsida; Poales; Poaceae.